Molecule: ribosomal RNA, 6073 nt
Filed under: Armatimonadota bacterium
Lineage: Bacteria; Bacillati; Armatimonadota
Description: Armatimonadetes bacterium (sediment metagenome) 23S ribosomal RNA
Rfam family: Bacterial large subunit ribosomal RNA (bases 1-3040)
Source: RNAcentral
GGCAAGCUACUAAGGGCGCACGGUGGAUGCCUAGGAGCAAGGAGCCGAUGAAGGGCGUGGCAAGCUGCGAUAAGCCACGGGGAGCCGCAAGCAGGCGUUGAUCCGUGGAUUCCCGAAUGGGGAAACCCGGCCACCGCAAGGGUGGUCACCCACCGCUGAACCCAUAGGCGGUGUGGAGGGAACCUGGGGAACUGAAACAUCUCAGUACCCAGAGGAAAAGAAACCGAAUGGGAUUCCCUCAGUAGUGGCGAGCGAACGGGGAACAGCCUAAACCAGUCGGGCGUGCCCGAUUGGGGUCGUGGGACCGACACAAGGGAGCGUCUUCCGCUUAGCAGAAGCUGCCUGGAACGGCACGCCAUAGAGGGUGAGAGCCCCGUAUGCGAAAAGUGGAGCGCCCCGUCGGGAUCCCGAGUAGCACGGGAUAAGUGGAACCCUGUGCGAAUCUGCCCGGACCACCGGGUAAGGCUAAAUACUCCUUGCUACCGAUAGCGCAACCAGUACCGUGAGGGAAAGGUGAAAAGCACCCCGGCGAGGGGAGUGAAAGAGAACCUGAAACCGUGCGCUUACAAGCAGUCGGAGGGCUAUGCCCCGCAAGGGGAACAGCCUGACGGCGUGCCUUUUGCAGAAUGAGCCGGCGAGUUACGCUUUGUGGCAAGGUUAAGCGCCUCAGGCGCGGAGCCGCAGCGAAAGCGAGUCCUCACAGGGCGACUCAGUCACAAGGCGUAGACCCGAAACCGCGCGAUCUACCCCUGGUCAGGCUGAAGCCGUGGUAACACACGGUGGAGGGCCGAACCGGUGUCCGUUGAAAAGGGCUCGGAUGAACUGGGGGUAGUGUGGUGAAAUGCCAAUCGAGCGCGGAGAUAGCUGGUUCUCCCCGAAAUGCAUUGAGGUGCAGCGUCACGGGCUAUGCUAUGCAGGUAGAGCCACUGGAUGGGCUAGGGGCCCCACCAGGUUACCGAACCCAACCAAACUCCGAAUGGCAUAGCAGGAACCGUGGCAGUGAGACAGCGACGGAUGAGCGCCGUUGUCAAAAGGGAAACAGCCCAGACCGCCCGCUAAGGUCCCUAAGCACAGGCUAAGUGUGAAAGGAUGUAGGCUCGCGUAGACAACCAGGAGGUUGGCUUAGAAGCAGCCAUCCUUUAAACAGUGCGUAACAGCUGACUGGUCGAAUGUGAGCCUGCGCCGACAAUGUAAGGGGGCUUAAGCCUGUCACCGAAGCGGCGGGUUCCCAGCAAUGGGAGCGGUAGGGGAGCGUUCUGCACGCAGUGAAGGUGGAGCGUGAGCACCGCUGGAGCGUGCAGAAGUGAGAAUGCCGGCACGAGUAGCGAGAAGACGGGUGAGAAUCCCGUCCGCCGAAAGCCUAAGGGUUCUUCAGGCAGGUUCGUCCGCUGAAGGUUAGGCGGUCCUAAGCCGAGGGCGAAACGCCGUAGGCGAAGGGCAGUGGGUCAACAUUCCCACCCCAGGGCGUGGAGCGAGAACGGGGACGCUUGAGAAUCGGUCGGGCGCAGGGUUGUAAGGCUGCGCGCGCCCCAGCGGCAACUCUGGGGCGCCGAAGGGAUCCCUCGUGGUGAACGAAGCGACCGUGACUCAAGCCGAGAAAAGCCGUUCCGCGUUGAAACGUCCUGACCGUACCGCAAACCGACACAGGUAGGCGAGGCGAGGAGCCUCAGGCGCGCGAGAGAAGUCCCGCUAAGGAACUCGGCAAAUUGACCCCGUAACUUCGGGAGAAGGGGUGCCUCCGCAAGGAGGUCGCAGCAAAGAGGGCCCGGCGACUGUUUACCAAAAACACAGCUCUCUGCGAAGGGGUAACCCGACGUAUAGGGGGCGACGCUUGGCCAAUGCCCGUAGGUUAAGGGGAGGGGUCAGCCGCAAGGUGCAGCCCCAAACUGAAGCCCGGGUGAAUGCCGGCCGUAACUCUAACGGUUCGUCACAGGGCCGUUGUAAAAUCUGGCUAUAUGCUGGAACAGCUCGUGUAUCCCACGCUACCGAGGAGGUGAAAACGCGAUGGGUGGAGCCAAUCAGCAGGAAAGACUCGCCCACACCGAAGCCGCCAAAUGGUUCCUCGCGGGGUUCAUCGAAGGUGAAGGCUCCCUGCUUGUCAGCAUCAAACACCACGAAACCAGCCGAUACGGCUACUAUGUGGACCCAGAGUUCCACCUUGUCCAACACACGAGUGGACGCAAUAUCCUGGAGCUGGCAAAGCAGGUCUUCCAAACAGGGCGCAUCUACCCCAAACCCGGCAGCCCAAACUGCCUCGUCUACGCCAUUCACUGCCGGCGUAGCCUCUGGGAAAAACUGGUGCCCUUCUACGAAAAGUAUGUCCUUCCCUUCGCCUCCCCGAACAAACGCGAAACCUUUCUGCGGUUUCGCGAAAUCCUGGAGAUGAUGAACCGCGGGGAACAUCGGACCCCUGACGGACUGGCACGCAUCGUCGAGAAGGCGUAUGCGAUGAACCCAGCCGCGAAGGGGAAGCAGCGCCUCAGACCGCUGCACGAGGUGUUGGCGAGAAUCCUCAGAGACCAUACGCCAGACACUCCGCCAAACGCGGAGUGAAGAUAUGGUCCAGUCCCUAUGGCGACAUAGGGGGCAACUGCCUAUGGUAGCGAAAUUCCUUGUCGCGUAAAUUGCGACCCGCACGAAAAGCGUAACGACUGGGCCACUGUCUCAGCGGGACACUCGGUGAAACUGUAGUACCCGUGAAGAUGCGGGUUACCUGCGGUAGGACGGAAAGACCCUAUGGAGCUUUACUACAGCCUGGGAUUGCAUUUCGGUGUGUCAUGUAGAGCGUAGGUGGGAGCUUCGGCGCCAAUGGAACACCACCCUUGACCCACUGAAGUGCUAACCCGGACCGUAAGCCGGUUCGGAGACAGUCUUAGGUGGGUAGUUUGACUGGGGCGGUCGCCUCAAUAGUGGGGCGCUCCGAUGGUAACAUCGGAGGCAAACUCGGCUAUAUGCUGGGAAGUCCGUCCCCUCACCCAAAGCCGCACCUCCGUGCUUUGGAGAAGGGGUGCAGAAUCCAGCGCUAGUGGCGCAUGCGCCACUGAAAAUGCGACUGGUGCGGACAAUCAGCAGGGAAGUCUUCGUGACCCCUCAACGACUGUACGCCGAGCAUCCACGCCAGUGGAUGGUGAGACAGUCUGAACUUCCGGGCGACCGGAAGCCUCCCCACAGGAGGCGUGCAGUCCGUCGCAAAACGAAGGAGGUGGCUAUGGCACACACACAUGCCAUCGAACCCUACAAACAGCAGCUCAAACUCACGCCUCUCCAGCGUGAGGUGCUGGUCGGAAUCUUGCUGGGCGAUGCCCAACUGGAAACCCAAAACCGCGGGCGCACCUAUCGCCUCAAAAUCGAACAGGGCGCCACACACGCUGCCUAUGUGCAGCACCUCUACCAGGUCUUCCAGGAGUGGGUGCUAACACCCCCCCAGCAAAAGGCAAAUGGCAACUGGUGGUUUCAAACGGUGAGCCAUGGCGCCUUCCGAUUCUACGCCCACCAGUUCUAUCAGGACGGGCGCAAGCGGGUGCCUCCGCUCCUCCAUCGCUGGUUGAAGCCCCGAAGUAUAGCCUACUGGUUUAUGGACGAUGGGUCUCUCAAAGACCCCAAAGCCAGGGCAGUGCUAUUCAACACUCAGGGGUUCCAGCGCGAAGAGGUGGAGCGGCUGGCGCAACUGCUCUCCGAACAGUUUGAACUGGAGGCAUAUUUGCGACGGCAAGCAGAAGGGUAUCAGAUCGUUAUCCCCGGAAGAAACCUCACCCGGUUUCUGGAACUGGUGGAGCCGUACCUGAUACCCGAAAUGCGCUACAAAUUGCCAGCGACUGCACGAACACAAUUGCCUAAACGGUAACGGAGGUGUUCAAAGGUCCGCUCAGCGCGGUCGGAAAUCGCGCGUCGAGUGCAAGGGCACAAGCGGGCUUGACUGUGAGACCUACGGGUCGAGCAGGGGCGAAAGCCGGACCUAGUGACCCUCUGGCAGUGCGUGGGCACGCCAGGGUUCAUCGGAUAAAAGCUACCCUAGGGAUAACAGGCUGAUCCUGCCCGAGCGCCCACAGCGACGGCGGGGUUUGGCACCUCGAUGUCGGCUCAAAUUUGGGCCCCUGAAGAGGUGACUCUUCAGGUAAAAUUCGGCUGAUAACGGGGAAGCCCUAACGCAAUCUACCCCCGAUUGGCGAGGGUAACCCCGUGGGAAGUCGAGGAGCUGAAAAUGCUGCAGGAGCCUUUGCACUCAGUCAUUAUCGGCAGCUUGCUGGGAGAUGGCUGCCUAUCGGCGAAUGGAAAAUCCUGGCGCCUCCGCUUCGAUCACAGUGUCAAGGCGUCAGAAUACAUCUGGUGGAAAUAUCACUUGCUGAAGCCGAUAGCCGCGAAUACUCCGCGAGCAACUGCCGUGUUUGACCAGCGUACUCAGAAGGUCUACGAGCAUCUGCGCUUCGAUACAUACACUUUACCUGAACUUGAGUGGUACGCGCAGCGCUUUCUCGAGAACGGGCGUAAACGCGUGCCCAGCAAUGUUGAAAGCCUUCUGAGUGAGAUGGCUCUUGCAGUAUGGUACAUGGAUGACGGACAUCGCCGCACCGAUUGCAACGCCUUGCGGAUCAACACCCACGCCUUUACUCGUGAGGAGAAUCAACAGCUUGCGCAUGCCCUUCUCAUCCGGUUUGGCUUGCGCUGCUGCCUUCAUUGUGUGGUAAAGGAACAGUGGGUGCUGUAUAUACCCGCAAGAGAGGCAACUCGGUUUUGCGAAAUCAUCCGUCCCUAUGUACCUCCAGCAAUGGAAUACAAGCUCCUCUGACCCCGUAACGACUGAAGGCUUUAUGCCUGAGAUAGGCGUCCUGCCUGAAAAGGCAAAUCUAUGGCGCCUAUCACACGCCGAACCCUUGACAAGGCGAUGGUCAAGGUGAUGCGAUAGUCUAUGCCACUGGAAACAGUGGAGGCACAUGCGUCGCAUCCUGGGGCUGAACAAGGUCCCAAGGGUUGGGGGGUUCACCCAUUAAAGCGGCACGCGAGCUGGGUUCAGAACGUCGUGAGACAGUACCUACCGUGCUGUCUAUAAAUCCGGCUAUAUGCUGGGAAGCCUGGUGAGUAUCCUGCGCUACUCGUAGGUAUACUUUAGCCUAUGAGUAAAAAUGCGUCAGGUGCAGGCAAUCAGCAGGGAAGGCCAGAUGAGAGUUUGGGCUACUACAUCGCUGGGUUUGUGGACGGCGAAGGCAGCUUCCAUGUAGCCAUCCAGCGUAAUCCCAGUACGAAACUGGGUUGGCAGGUCAUUCCAGAACUGCACAUCUCCCAGCACGAACGCAAUAAACAUGUGCUGGAGUUGAUACGCAAUACGCUGGGUUGUGGCUAUCUGAAGCCUAACGACCGCCACAAACCAAACGACAAAACCUGGGUGUUUGUGGUGCGAUCGCGCAAAGACCUCAUGGAAAAGGUUAUCCCUUUCUUUGAGCGAUAUCCACUUCGCACCACAAAACGCCACGAUUUUGAAAAGUUUGCCACGAUUGUGCGAAAGCUCCACAAGAAAGAGCAUCUCACGCCUGCAGGAUUGAAAGCCAUCCUGCAGAUUGCUGGGAGCAUGAAUAACAACGGAGCUUAUCGACGCAUCGAUAUCGAAACGAUACUCUCUCAUCUGGAACCCUCAGAGACUGUACGCCGGACACCCUGAAGCCCACAGGGUGAAGAUACAGUCCGAACUGCAUGGCGACAUGCAGAGGUGGGUCGAAAGGCUCACCCGCCUUGCGUCAAGCAAGGUCAGUAGGCGUCCCGAAGACGCCGAAAGUAACAGAUUGUCGGUCCCUAUCCACCGCAGGCGGAGGAGACUUGAGGGGAGCUGGCCCUAGUACGAGAGGACCGGGCUGGACCGACCUCUGGUGUACCAGUUGUCCCGACAGGGGCAGCCGCUGGGUAGCUACGUCGGGAAGGGAUAAGCGCUGAAAGCAUCUAAGCGCCAAGCCCACCCCAAGAUAAGGUCUCCCAUCCGGUCAACGGAGUAAGGUCCCCGGUAGAUGACCGGGUUGAUAGGCGGCAGGUGUAAGCGCAGUAAUGCGUUGAGCUGAGCCGUACUAAUCGACCGAGGGCUUGCCUA